UACAGAGGGUGCAAGCGUUGUUCGGAAUUAUUGGGCGUAAAGAGCUCGUAGGCGGUUUGUCGCGUCUGCCGUGAAAGUCCGGGGCUCAACUCCGGAUCUGCGGUGGGUACGGGCAGACUAGAGUGAUGUAGGGGAGACUGGAAUUCCUGGUGUAGCGGUGGAAUGCGCAGAUAUCAGGAGGAACACCGAUGGCGAAGGCAGGUCUCUGGGCAUUAACUGACGCUGAGGAGCGAAAGCAUGGGGAGCGAACAGG
Molecule: ribosomal RNA, 253 nt
Filed under: uncultured bacterium
Lineage: Bacteria
Description: partial 16S ribosomal RNA
Rfam family: Bacterial small subunit ribosomal RNA
Source: RNAcentral